Molecule: RNA transcript, 1822 nt
Organism: Medicago truncatula (barrel medic)
Lineage: Eukaryota; Viridiplantae; Streptophyta; Magnoliopsida; Fabales; Fabaceae
Gene name: ABC transporter I family member 11, chloroplastic
Exons: 12
Source: RefSeq, a predicted model, not a curated record
UGCAAAUAUUUUCAAACCAACUGUCAAAUUUCUAAACUCUCCGCAACAAUUGGCUCCUCCCUCUCUCCCAACCGAACCACCACCGUCUAUCUAUGCCUAUGCCGAUGGCAAUGGCUACCUCAAUUAAUUCACCAAUCACCUUUCACUUCCUCAAACCACCACUUUCUUCUUUUCCCUCACUUUCUCGCUCUCCUCAAUCGCAUUGUAGCUUCUUCAAUUCCUCAACCACUCGCUGCAGUUACUCUUCUCUCGAAGUUAGAGAUGUUAGCUAUCAACCACCAGGGACUGAGUUUAAGCUUCUCAAUUCAGUUAAUUUUUCACUUCCAGAGAAAAGUUUGGGUCUAAUUUUCGGACAGAGUGGAAGCGGGAAAACAACUCUCUUGCAGCUUCUUGCAGGAAUAAACAAACCAACAUCUGGAUCUAUUCACAUCCAAAAAUAUGGGGAUGAUGGGAGUCCAAGUCAAUCUCCUGAACCGUUGGUGCCGGAAAGGGUCGGUAUUGUCUUCCAGUUUCCAGAGAGGUAUUUUGUUGCUGAUACUGUACUUGAUGAAGUCACUUUUGGGUGGCCAAGACAAAAGGGUAAUGAUCAAUUAAGGGAGAAUCUUGCUCUAGGGCUUCAGAGGGCUAUUAACUGGGUUGGAUUAAGUGGGAUAUCAUUGGAUAAGAAUCCUCACUCUCUCAGUGGCGGUUACAAACGUCGCCUUGCCUUGGCAAUACAAUUAGUGCAAAUCCCCGAUUUAUUAAUAUUGGAUGAGCCUCUUGCCGGACUUGAUUGGAAAGCACGUGCGGAUGUUGUGAAGCUUUUAAAGCAUCUAAAAAAAGAAUUAACUGUGCUUGUUGUCAGCCAUGACUUGAGAGAGUUUGCAAGUCUAGUUGAUCAAUCAUGGAGGAUGGAAAUGGGUGGCAAUCUUAGACAGGAGUUUCUACCAUUAUAAUUUAUAUUUAUUGCCUUGAUAAUCAAGAUAGAAUGCUUCAAGAUUCAAACAACAAAACUCACACACACUAAGUACAUAGAAUUGGGAAACAGGAGAAAAGGAAGUUAGGGAGGGUAUUGGAUUGAAUUAUGAGUGUGUGGAAAAGGCUAGUAGGAUCUCUCAAAUCACCAGGAAUUUACUCUGUUCAAUGUACUCUUUCCCCUGAACUAGUUCACACUACACUGGUACUGGAUUUGGGAGAUAGGGUUCCUCAAUUGAAGUUCAGUUGUCAGUUCUUAUCCCUAAUAUCCUGUCACAGUGGAGUUCCUGCUAGUGCUGUUGUUUGAUGCACCAGUAAGGGCAUGCUUCCAUGCAUUUAGGUGCUCAAUGAGGAAGGAAAAAGUUAAAAAGAAACCCUUGAUUAGAGAACCUAGAGCUGCUGAUACCAUGAAGUGCUCAUUGUUCCCAGUCGAACCACUGCAACAUAAGUCAUCUUGCGGUGGAUUCCAGUUGAUCUCACAGUGUUCAUCAAAGCAUUCACGAGGAAGAUUUUUAAUCUUAUCUUUGUGGGAUUUAGUAACACUUUUUGCAUUUAAGGUGUCUUCAGGAUGGACUUUUCUGUGAAACUUGCGUAGAACCUGCAUACCCAGAUGAAUAACAGAAUAACUUAUUAUGAUUGUUUCGUGUGUGUUCAAGAUGAAAUAUUGAAACUGUGGUUUGAUUUUGAGAGCUAAACUUAUUCAAGAAAAUGAGAGUCUUUGCAUACCUAAUGAUAUUUGGCACAUUAACUUUUUAACAUAGUUACAUUUUGUGGAAAGCCCUUCUAGAAUCCCUUCGUUUAAUGGUCUGUAAGGAUGCUUUACAAUUUUUAAAUGUUAAUAUGGUUAUAUUCUUUUUAUUCUCCUCUA